UACGAAGGGGGCUAGCGUUGUUCGGAUUUACUGGGCGUAAAGCGCACGUAGGCGGAUCGUUAAGUCGGGGGUGAAAUCCUGGAGCUCAACUCCAGAACUGCCUUCGAUACUGGCGAUCUUGAGUCCGGAAGAGGUGAGUGGAACUCCUAGUGUAGAGGUGGAAUUCGUAGAUAUUAGGAAGAACACCAGUGGCGAAGGCGGCUCACUGGUCCGGUACUGACGCUGAGGUGCGAAA
RNAcentral lists this ribosomal RNA (235 nucleotides) under uncultured bacterium. RNAcentral describes it as "partial 16S ribosomal RNA". It matches the Rfam family "Bacterial small subunit ribosomal RNA", at positions 524 to 758 of the family's 1533-position model. The record is from RNAcentral.